UCCAACACUCACGUGCUUCUAUAACUAAGAUCAUGUAUGAGAAACUUUAGUUCUGCGAGGUACCUGAAUCAUCACUAUUUAGUGGGUUUCCCAUGUUGUAAUAUAGCAUGUAUCACACUUGUUCAAGUGUUUUCCCAAAAUAUGCUUAUCAUGUGCUACAAAAAUUCUUAAGCACAAAUAUUAGUAACAUAGGAGAGCCCUUAAAGGCAGGGCCGUAAAUCAUAAAUCAUGUGGGUAAUGAACCCACAAUAGUUAAAGGUCCACUUACAUGCAGCAUGCGGUUCAACUAUCAAAGCAAUUAAUGAGCAGUUCCAUAUCAUUUAUUAAUAUAUGCAUUUGAUCAUGUUCACAUGUCUUGAAAAGAAAUAAAUAAUGCUAAAUUUCGACAAGCAAUAAUCAUUACCCUUAUUUAUUGAGGUUGCACUUAUAGAGCACUUAGUUCGUCUUCUGCUUUAUCGAGAAGUAUGAGCAAUUGUAAAUCAACAUAAUCAUCUUCUGCUUUAUCGAGAAUCCAAUCUAAUUAACUUCUACUUCGCAAAUUCCUCCCAACGAAACCCAAGAAUCCCAAAUCCCUCCAGUAAUUCACCACAACUAAACCAAAUUCUAUAAACAAGCAUGCAUGUUUGGCACAAUGCCCCCUAGUUUCAGAGUCAAGAAAGGCCAGCCAUACCUGGUAAUAAUAGAUGUGGACUCAUCCCGUUGAGGAUCACGUUUGGUAGCUGAUCAAGCGCUGCCGACAAAGGCAGCAGCUACACGCUAGUGAGUGGUGAGACACAGAUUUGUUCUUUAUCAUUUCCGCUGUCGUAAAUAAUGUCAUCUUCUGAUUUUGAUCUUCGGAGACUAUUUCACCGAUUCUGGUAAUGGCGCCGAUAACAUUGCCUGGUUAGGAUUCCAAUGUUGUUACCUUUCCAUCCAAAAAAAGAAAAAGAAAAUCAGAGCCUCAAAUUGGUAGAGAAAAUCACAAAAAUGAAUUUGAAUUUGAGGAAUUGAAAACAGGGGCAGAGCGGCGGCCGAGUUGGUGGAUUUCUCCCUUUCCGAAUGAGUAAUAUACGAUAGAUAUGCGCCGCUUUUCAGAAGAGGGCGGAGAUUCUUUUGGAGAGCAGUGGUGGAAACUGAUUUCCGGCGGAGAAUAUAGAGAGACGAGCGAGGGGCUUCGCAGAGCAGGAUCUGUAGAUUUUGGGAUUUUCACUGGUUUCUAUGGAGAUAGUGGUCGGGCGUUUCUUGUAUGAGAAUAGAGAAAGAACUUCUGAAAAUUUUCUUGUAUGAGCGAAUUGAGAGAACUUCAUCGAUUUUUGGGGGAAAUCGCUGGAAAUUGAAGAGAAAGAAAGAGAACAGGGAUGGAAGUCGUUGCACGGCGAUUGAACAGGAUGAUAAACUUGGACCUUCAGAGAUUUUUUUUUCAGUCGAACUAUGAGAGAUGAGGGUGGGCGUGAGG
Molecule: long non-coding RNA, 1435 nt
Filed under: Salvia miltiorrhiza (redroot sage)
Lineage: Eukaryota; Viridiplantae; Streptophyta; Magnoliopsida; Lamiales; Lamiaceae
Description: long non-coding RNA (SMIL_LNC001023)
Source: RNAcentral